GUCCACGCCCUAAACGAUGUCGACUGGUUGUUGGGUUGGUACACUCUCAGUAACGAAGCUAACGCGUGAAGUCGACCGCCUGGGAGGUACGGCCGCAAGGUUAAACUACAAAGGAAUUGACGGGACCCGCACAAGCGGUGGAUUAUGUGGAUUAAUUCGAUGCAACGCGAAAACCUUAACCUACCCUUGACAUGUCCUGAAGCCUGGAGAGAUCCGGGUGUGCCCGAAAGGGAACGGGAACACAGGUGCUGCAUGGCUGUCGU
Molecule: ribosomal RNA, 263 nt
Filed under: uncultured bacterium
Lineage: Bacteria
Description: partial 16S ribosomal RNA
Rfam family: Bacterial small subunit ribosomal RNA
Source: RNAcentral